ACCCUCGUAUUAUUCUGUUUUGGGUUGAAUCGGAGCUUAGCGCCGUUCAUUUUUUUACACAACACCUGCGUAAAAAAUAAACGACGCAGUGCUCGCGAUAGCGCUUUUCCAGAGAAAUAGCGGAUAAUGCCGUGCCCCGAUAUGCAGCAAAUCUGCCGUAGACGUGCCAUUUCAGGGCAU
Molecule: non-coding RNA, 180 nt
Organism: Pseudomonas sp.
Lineage: Bacteria; Pseudomonadati; Pseudomonadota; Gammaproteobacteria; Pseudomonadales; Pseudomonadaceae
Source: Rfam